Molecule: long non-coding RNA, 1654 nt
Organism: Phasianus colchicus (ring-necked pheasant)
Lineage: Eukaryota; Metazoa; Chordata; Aves; Galliformes; Phasianidae
Source: Ensembl
GGAAGAUUUAGGUUGGAUAUCAGGGGGAAGUUCUUUACUAUGAGAGUGGUAAGGUGCUGGAAUAGGCAGCCCAGAGAGGUUGUGGAUGCCCUGUCCCUUCUGGUGUUCAAAACCAGGUUGGAUGGGGCCCUGGGCAGCCUGAUCUAGUAUGAAAUAUGGAGGUUGGUGGCCCUGCAUGUGAUGGGGGGUUGGAGAUUCAUGAUCCUUGAGGUCCCUUCCAACCCUGGCUAUUCCGUGAUACACUGGCACAGUUUGAAGCUGCUAAGGCAGAAGCAAACUCCCUCUAUUCUUUAUUCAGAUAUGGAAAAGUUCAGAGAGAGAGAGUGAUACACAGGAGAGAGCUAUGAUAAAUUAUCUUUAAGUUUGCACUUUCACUCUGCAUGCUGCAUAGCCCUCAGGAGCAUAAGUUAAUGUUCCAGUAAGAUGAAAAAGAGAUAGAGUUUUGGGAGCUGGUGCCACCUAUAUACACACUGAAUAUCAAUGUCAUUUAUUUCACCUGACAUGCUUACACAAAUAUGUUAAACUUCAAGAAAAUUAGCUUUUCAUCUUACUCUAGAAAGUUGAAUUUGAGCUUUGGAAAGAAACCACAGAGCAAUUCUUUAUUUGUUAGAAAGCUUUAGCUGCCUUCUGAAAUAAGGUGCUGCUGAGAAUAGAUGCAUUGAUCAAAGCUGCUCUGAUCAGAGAGACCAAGGGCUUUGUUAUUGGUGUGGGUUUUCUGUUUAUGUUUGUUCUUUUGUUUGUGUCAGCUUGUUACCCUGACUCCUUUACCCUCCCUUCUCUCCCACACAGGCUUGUCUUUUUUUCCUGAUGAGAGCUCACGGAUAUCAGCAGUGAAUGACCUGCAGCUGUGGGGGUAGUACUGUUAAAGGGAAAGUAUUACUACCAGAGACUGAAGAUUUUCUGUUUUUAGUGAAAUGCCAUAGAGCCUUUACCUUCCACCUGGACAGCCACCAAACUGAAAGGACCUUGGGUUUAAUGUCUCAUCUCAAGGAUAUUAUAAUGUGUUGGCCUCAUUAUUCACAGCAGAAAAGGCCUUUGUCAUGGUCAGAUGGCUUUAAUGUGUUUCGUAUGCUACAUAAAUUCAAACUUGAUGGCUCAUUUAUUUGUUGGAUUGCAGCGUUAUUCAACCUAAAUGAAGCCUUGGUAUUUACUAAUAAUUUGGGCUUUGGCUCUUGUUUACUUAAGCAAGUAGUGCCCACUGUCUCCUCUGUUGUCUGUAUUAAGUUGGGGCUCUCUAUAUUCAAGGGAUAUUAUAGAGGGGGACAAAAAAUGCAGAGAAAAUAGCUUUUCAUUUGUGGACAAUUAUUUAUCCAAGCCUUGAAAGAUCAGUAUUCCAGUAUUGCAAUUUCUGACAUCAAUUUUCUCAGGGUCAGAAACAACUUCUCGGGCUUCAACUAAGCCCCAGAAUACCCCCGUGAGGAAGUGAGUCAUCAUUAUCGUCACUUUGAAGAAGGGCUAACUGGAUGUGGUAGGCUGUUAGGUGGCUUAUUCCACGAGAAAUGAAAUUAAAGAGACACUGGCUAAAAUGCACCCAGAAUCCAAACUGGCCUUUUAAUGUCAGGACCAUUUUCUGUUGUGAUGUGACAACAUUCUUUGAUGAAACCACAUGUAGCAGUUAUCUAACUAAAUAAACAAGCCAAAAUACAAAUUUUCA